Molecule: ribosomal RNA, 468 nt
Filed under: uncultured bacterium
Lineage: Bacteria
Description: partial 16S ribosomal RNA
Rfam family: Bacterial small subunit ribosomal RNA
Source: RNAcentral
GACGAACGCUGGCGGCGUGCUUAACACAUGCCAGUCGAACGGAAAGGCCCUGCUUUUGUGGGGUGCUCGAGUGGCGAACGGGUGAGUAACACGUGAGUAACCUGCCCUUGACUUUGGGAUAACUUCAGGAAACUGGGGCUAAUACCGGAUAGGAGCUCCUGCUGCAUGGUGGGGGUUGGAAAGUUUCGGCGGUUGGGGAUGGACUCGCGGCUUAUCCGCUUGUUGGUGGGGUAGUGGCUUACCAAGGCUUUGACGGGUAGCCGGCCUGAGAGGGUGACCGGCCACAUUGGGACUGAGAUACGGCCCAGACUCCUACGGGAGGCAGCAGUGGGGAAUAUUGCACAAUGGGCGGAAGCCUGAUGCAGCAACGCCGCGUGCGGGAUGACGGCCUUCGGGUUGUAAACCGCUUUCGCCUGUGACGAAGCGUGAGUGACGGUAAUGGGUAAAGAAGCACCGGCUAACUACGUG